UUUAAGUGCAACCAUGACUUUCCGUUCCAACUUUCAUCGUCCGUCUUAUUUAAAUUUUUUUUUUAUAAUUAGUAUUUUUUUUGUUGUUAUGAGAUGAUAAAAUAUGAAUAGUACUUUACUCGUGACUUAUGUUUUUAAUUUUUUUAAAAAAUAUUUAAAUAAAAUGGAUGAUCAAAACUAGGAAAAAAAUAGCUGCACUUAAA
Molecule: non-coding RNA, 203 nt
Organism: Oryza glumipatula
Lineage: Eukaryota; Viridiplantae; Streptophyta; Magnoliopsida; Poales; Poaceae
Source: Rfam